AAGCACUUUGAAAAGAGAGUGCAAGAGAACGUGAAACCGAUGUAAUGGAAGCGAAUGGAGCCGACGUAUCUAGUGCGUAUUCAUUCGGGUGGGCAUAUUAGGUCUGGUUAUUAUUCCGUAGAGGUUUAUAGCUGGUACUGUUUGUAUGUUCAUUCGAUGCAUUUACGUACGGAGUGCGCUGAGCCGGUUGACUUUGCGGUUGUAAGCGUGUCUAGAGGAUCGACUUCGGUUGAAAACCUGGGCGCGUGGACGGCUGUUGAGGUUGGCUGUAGAUUGGGUCGCAGGCUAACGUGUUCGUUGUGCUUGGAUCAUGAUGCAUUGGCGUGACACAUGUGUGCCGUUAUUGUGUUGUGGUUUGGGUGGGAUGAAUGCUCUGUGUGCUCGCUCGGUGUCUAGUUGGUCACCCAUUUGACCCGUCUUGAAACACGGACCAAGGAGUUUAAGGCGUGCGCGAGUCAAUGGGCUGUGAAACCCAAAGGCGAAAUGAAAGUGAAACACUCAGUGUUUUAGGUGCGAUCGGUAGGUGUUUCGAUGCCCGUCGAGCAGCAUCGCUCCGUUCCUGGGACUUGUCCUGGUGCGGCAGCUGAGCGUACGCCUUGAGACCCGAAAGAUGGUGAACUAUGCCUGAACAGGACGAAGCCAGAGGAAACUCUGGUGGAAGUUCGAAGCGGUUCUGACGUGCAAAUCGAUCGUAUGAUUUUGGUAUAGGGGCGAAAGACUAAUCGAACCAUCUAGUA
RNAcentral lists this ribosomal RNA (737 nucleotides) under Basilaphelenchus magnabulbus. RNAcentral's name for it is "partial large subunit ribosomal RNA". It matches the Rfam family "Eukaryotic large subunit ribosomal RNA", at positions 369 to 949 of the family's 3401-position model. Lineage: Eukaryota; Metazoa; Nematoda; Chromadorea; Rhabditida; Aphelenchoididae. The record is from RNAcentral.